RNAcentral lists this ribosomal RNA (466 nucleotides) under uncultured bacterium. Its description in RNAcentral is "bacterial SSU rRNA". It matches the Rfam family "Bacterial small subunit ribosomal RNA", at positions 338 to 795 of the family's 1533-position model. The record is from RNAcentral.
CCUACGGGUGGCAGCAGUGGGGAAUUGUUCGCAAUGGGCGCAAGCCUGACGACGCAACGCCGCGUGGAGGAUGAAGAUCUUCGGGUCGUAAACUCCUUUCGAUCGAGACGAACGACUUCCGGGUGAACAAUCCGGGAGAGUGACGGUACCGAGAGAAGAAGCCCCGGCUAACUCCGUGCCAGCAGCCGCGGUAAUACGGGGGGGGCAAGCGUUGUUCGGAAUUACUGGGCGUAAAGGGCUCGUAGGUGGCCAACUAAGUCAGACGUGAAAUCCCUCGGCUUAACCGGGGAACUGCGUCUGAUACUGGAUGGCUUGAGAUUGGGAGAGGGAUGCGGAAUUCCAGGUGUAGCGGUGAAAUGCGUAGAUAUCUGGAGGAACACCGGUGGCGAAGGCGGCAUCCUGGACCAACACUGACACUGAGGAGCGAAAGCCAGGGGAGCAAACGGGAUUAGAUACCCCUGUAGUC